AAAAUGCAACAGGUGGCGAGUCGGGAGCUCAAGAUCCCGUCCUCUAAGAUCUACAUCAGUGAAACCAGCACCAACACUGUUCCCAACACCUGCCCGUCUGCCGCCUCCUUCGGAACUGACGCCAACGGCAUGGCGGUCAAGAACGCCUGCGAAACUCUGUACCAGCGACUGGAGCCAAUCAGACAGAAAAACCCCAAAGG
Plectropomus leopardus (leopard coralgrouper) is the source of this 200-nucleotide non-coding RNA. NCBI's taxonomy places the organism in Eukaryota, Metazoa, Chordata, Actinopteri, Perciformes, Serranidae. The record is from RefSeq and is a predicted model, not a curated record.